Passer domesticus (house sparrow) is the source of this 4854-nucleotide long non-coding RNA. RefSeq lists it as uncharacterized. The record is from RefSeq and is a predicted model, not a curated record. The transcript is spliced from 3 exons. NCBI's taxonomy places the organism in Eukaryota, Metazoa, Chordata, Aves, Passeriformes, Passeridae.
UGAUUGUUUGCUGAUCCAGAGGGAGCAGCGCCACAGGCGGGGCAGUGACCACCACGGGCUGCAGCCUCGCGCUCAGCACACACACAGCAACGCAGGCUGCGGGAGACAGCAGCGGGGAGCAAGACUGUGAUUGGCUGCAGGAGCGCACCAGCAGGAAGCUGAUUGGAUGGCAGGAUGCAUGGGCAGAGUAUGAGCAGGAAGCUGAUUGGAUGGCAGGAUGCAUGGGCAGAGUAUGAGCAGGAAGCUGAUUGGAUGGCAGGGCACGUGGGCAGCAGCAUGGCAGCUGAGCCAGCCAAUAGGUGCCCUUCUUCUGUUCUGUUAAAUGUCGGGCUGGUUUCAGUUGUGUCAGGUUAAAAUUAAAGACACAAACAGGGGCCGAUCUCUACAAUAAAGGGAUCUCCUUCAGAUGCAUAAGGGGGUUGCUUUGCUCCCCACUGCUACAAACACACUGUUGGCUUUCUCAAGUUUCUGGAUGCACACAGGACAAGUUCUCACCCUCCUUCCUUGAAGCAGGGUUAGGAUCUAUAGUCAGCUCUUCGGAAUUAUCAAUGAAGUUAAAUUUGGAGGUUCAUUUUUAGAACUUAAAAUUUUUGCACCAGACAGAUUAUGCACUGUUGACAGGAGUGACACAACAAAAAAGGUAGAGAAAACAAAUGUGAGGAUUCUACAGCAGGAGGCAGAAAUAGCAAGAACCAAACUUCGUUCCAACAUUUGGCUUUUCUGUAACCCACACUGGUCACAGAACUGCUUGUGAAAAGAAAUAGACAUGAUGAGCUCUCCGCCGAGAUUCUGGAUCUCUGCUUUAACCUGGCUGCAGAUCUUGAGCUGGUGGGAGUACAGCUUGAUCUGUUCUAGCAAUACAGAAGAAAUGUGUACCAUUUAUGAAUGCUACAGAUGAUACACAUCAAAGGCCAGGAAACUGAAAUCAAGAACAAGACCACGAGGUUCUGUGGAAACAUUUUCGUGCCAGAAGCAUUCAGAACAGAAAAUGCAGAGUAUUGGAUAAGAAAAUUCUCCUGAAAUGUAAUUACACAACUGUACAAGGCUGUGGCAUAUCCACAGCUGCACUACCCCAGCAGACACAGUGCAGCCCUGCCCUGCACCGGCCCAGCCAAGGCCCAGAUGGAAGGAGGAAGAUUGCACUGAAUCCUGGUAUUCUUCCUCCAUUACAGACCCCAGGGGCCAUUAGAAGUGACUCCCAGGAGCACAAAACAAAGGAAAUGGUUUGUAACACAGGGUUGGUCAAUUACAGAAAUCUUUGUUACAAAAUGGUUAUAUUAAAAUUUUACAUAAGUAAAAGAAAUUACUGAACAAACAAAUGGAAAAGUUAUCAAGGACUAUUUCCCAUGUCAAGCGUAUCAAAAACAUGUUUGGUUAUGUAAAUUCUGGCAUGGCUGCUGGAGGCUGGGAGCACCAUGGAAGUCAGGCCAUGCUCUCCCGAGCUGUGUCCAUACCCAGUGAAGCCUCCUGGCAGCAGCAGGGAGCAGCAGAUCCAUGCCUGAGCUCUGGCCACAGCACUGCAGCAGAGGGUUGGGCCAGCCAGAAAAUUAAACCUCAUGCCUUGUAGCAUGUCAGAUCAGCCAUCAACAGAUGUUAGGAACAAAUGUUCUGCAGGGAGGACACUGCAUAAGGAAUCAUCUACCUAUUGCUCAGAAGCAGCUGGUACAAGCAGCACUUGCUCACCAGCAAAAUCAAACACUGGCUGCAACAGAAGGACAGUCAACAAAUUCUGAGUUUCACCAUCCCACAGGUAUGAUGGUUACCAGUUUACUGCUGCACAUUCCUGACUGGAGAGCCCAUCAGAUUCUGAGAGGUUUUUCCUCACACAUCCUGUGGGCAGCAGCUGUUGCUAACAAGGGCUUUCUGUAAGAGCAGCAUCAGAACUGACCUGCAUCCCAAAGAUGCAGUGGUAUUUUACCCAACAAAAUAUCCACCAGAACAUCCAAACAAUGUGAGAAAUUAAAAUAAUGCAGUGAUUAAAACCAGACUGAAACCAGCACUCACCAUCCAAGUGAGAAAGCCAGUGGCACAGCAGUUGCACAGGAGCUCCUGCCCACAGACCAUUGGGAGUUUGCUUUGUUCUCACUUCAUCCACUUGGCUAACAAAGGCCAAAGCAUUUCUCUAUAGAAUCCAAAUGUGUCUUCAUGGGGAUCAGCACUGGGGAUAAUCACACAGCACCUACAAUAAAUGUGUGCUGGGCACAGGCAGGAGGCAGCUUUGCUGCUCCACCAGUGGGGUUCUAUCACCCAAAGGGAUUACACAGUGUGUUACUGACCACUGUAAUUAGCUCUGACAAGCAGCAUUCUGAAUGACCCCAGCCAGGGCCUGCCUGACUGGGAGCCUAAUGGGUGCAACACAGAGGAGGCUCUUAAUGCAGACCUCACUCUUCAGCAUAUUUCAUCAACCCAGGGUGAGGUACUCACUGCCUUCAUUAUCUUAGGGCUUCCAGGUCACAUUAAGCAGCAAAAAUUUUCUGACAGAAGGGACAAAGAACAAAAAUGUUCUGACAAAAGGGAACGUCUCCUGACAAUGAAUUUAUAAUGCACUUGUGAUUCAUGUGCAUAGGUUGCUGUUGAUGCUGUAACUGUGAGGAUUUGCACCCUUGUUACUCUGAGCCAUCCUAGAAGUGCUUGUGACUGUGGACUGAAAUACAGCUGAGUUCUGCUAAUUGUACCACACUGUAUGCCUUCCCUUCAAACACAGCAACAGGGAGCUAUAAAAAUCAUACAGAUCCUUUUUUUUUACAUAAUAGAAAUGCUACAGAAUUUAGUUGUUAGUAAAAGACAACAUGUGAAAUACUCCACUAAAAAGUCCCCGUGCUGCUCAGGAAAGCACUACUGACACUCAUGUUUGACUCUGAGUACCAAAUUCCUGAAGGGCUUAUCCUGUUUGGCCCAAAUUCAGAGAACAGUUAUUUGGUAGCCCAGAGGAAUGUAAAGCUUAUUUUAUUUUAAGACCCCAAGAGUGCAGGGCAUCGGAAACCUGGCAAAACAACAGCUGAGAAAUGGAAUUUGAAAAUACCUUUGAGAUUAAAAAAAACACCGCAAUGAGAAAAGAGCUUUCUAAGUUAAAGGAUAACUUUGCACCGCCAAAAAAACCCCAAAACUUUUAAACCUUCUUUUAACAGAAGUUAAAAGCUCUCUAGCCAUGCAAGGAAUGAGAGUACUAAGAAUAUCUGUAAUAGGAGGAAUAAAGCAAGAUUCUCUUUUUUUACUAAAUUUGACACACCUAUCUAGCAAUACUUGCAAUUGUGUUCACUAUAACUGAAAGGGCUGCCUUGGUUCAUCUUUUGAUUUGUGUUUGGAUUUUUCUUGUUUUAAUGCAGAUAAUGUAAUGUAAACCUGCAUCUAAAAUCCAAGCAACACCUGUAAGUAAGGAGUGUCCUUCAGAUGCACAGAACAAAUCCCAGGGGUCAGGUGGCUCCCAGGUGCCAGCUCUGAGCGAGGACAAAGGCAAGGAGCUGGAGUGAACUCAGUAAAUGGGUUACAAUAACCUGGAUGAUGUCAUUACAUCUCCUAGCAACUCUGAGGGGACACACGAAUUAUCACCACCAGUGGUUCAUGAAUACUUUCCCUCACACUGAUUUGCUCAUAUUUCUAGUCUGGAGUCAUUGUACUAAUACAGCUGAAAUCUUUCUUUCAUAGAAAAAAUAAUAUUUCAGUGAGAGUGGAUUCCCUGUCCUAAAACCAGCAAGAAUUUAUGACCCUUACUCAUUUUUGGCUUUGUUAUCUCAUUGCUUUCUGCAGUCUAUCAGUGACAGGUUUGAAUUUUAAUUUGUAAUAGAUAAAACCUUGAAAGCAGCUGUUGCCCAGUGCUGGAAGAAAGUGUGUCAAGAUCAGUAAUUGGGGAAUUCAGACAUUUUACCUAGUUUUUUUCUACAACUCUGAUCACAACUGUAUAGAGGCAAAAUAGAAAUUCUUUGUUAUCUGGAAUUCAGAAAGACACAUGACAACUGCUAACAAACUGGUGUUAUUUCCUAGACAGUAGGAAAGCAAGCACUGAAUAUGAAAAUAAAAAGUGAAGGGAAAAGAAAAACCAUGUGAGGGUGUGGAAACAGUGACUGUCCUGUGCUGCCCUGGACCUGAAAGGCAGCCACAAAGGCAGAAAUGCUUCAGGCGUGACACCUGCACUCCUCUGCUGGUGUUGUACAGCCCUAAAGACACCCAGCCAGCCUGGUGAGGAGGCUGCAGGGGUGCUCACGUGCCACUGCAGCUCCCCUAAGCAGGCUGCUGAGUUACCCUGCUCCUGCUGGGCUCUUCUGGGGGGAGUUGAGCCAUCUGACGAUCUAAAAAUCCAGAAGAAAUAAAGCAUACCUUCCAGCUCUAACACUUGGCAUUUCAUGGUGAUAAGUAACUCAUAAGUUACUUAAACUAACUAUAAAUAAAAAAUAUAUGCGAAACCAAAAAUCACCUUCAAGCUGAGGCUUUGCAGAGGCCAAAACAGCCAGUGUUAGGGGUAGGGGGCAGAGAAGAAGGUACAGCAAAAGCAUGGAUUCUGUAACUCUGCAGAGGGUGGAGAACAAACCAUUGUGGAGCCAGACAAGUCUGUCCUUCCUAAGCUAGUGCUGAGACCAAGCACCUGCCCAGAGCAGCAGAGCUCUGUGCCAGUGCCUCCAUCUUGUGUUCCCACAGCUCAUGUGGAGCAGCUGCAUUGCUGCUGGGUAAUUUACCCAGGUCAGUCAGGAGAGGACAAGCCUGCACCUCUGCACUGCUGCCUGCACAGCUGGCCUGGCUUUGCCUGGCACACAGCUCAUGCUCUCCACAGUGCUCUGCUGGAUUAAGAGUGGGAAGGAAGGUGGCACACAAGGACCUUUCAGUCUCCCACUCUCUGCCAGAGAGCAGUGCACAGGCAGC